CAGUGGCGAACGGGUGAGUAACACGUGAGUAACCUGCCCUUGACUCUGGGAUAAGCGUUGGAAACGACGUCUAAUACCGGAUACGACCCGCGGAGGCAUCUCCUGCGGGUGGAUGGUCAAGGAUGGACUCGCGGCCUAUCAGCUAGUUGGUGAGGUAAUGGCUCACCAAGGCGACGACGGGUAGCCGGCCUGAGAGGGUGACCGGCCACACUGGGACUGAGACACGGCCCAGACUCCUACGGGAGGCAGCAGUGGGGAAUAUUGCACAAUGGGCGCAAGCCUGAUGCAGCAACGCCGCGUGAGGGACGACGGCCUUCGGGUUGUAAACCUCUUUUAGUAGGGAAGAAGCGAAAGUGACGGUACCUGCAGAAAAAGCACCGGCUAACUACGUGCCAGCAGCCGCGGUAAUACGUAGGGUGCAAGCGUUGUCCGGAAUUAUUGGGCGUAAAGAGCUCGUAGGCGGUUUGUCGCGUCUGCUGUGAAGACUGGAGGCUCAACCUCCAGCCUGCAGUGGGUACGGGCAGACUAGAGUGCGGUAGGGGAGAUUGGAAUUCCUGGUGUAGCGGUGGAAUGCGCAGAUAUCAGGAGGAACACCGAUGGCGAAGGCAGAUCUCUGGGCCGUAAC
This 625-nucleotide ribosomal RNA is filed under the name uncultured bacterium. RNAcentral describes it as "bacterial SSU rRNA". It matches the Rfam family "Bacterial small subunit ribosomal RNA", at positions 93 to 740 of the family's 1533-position model. The record is from RNAcentral.